RNAcentral lists this long non-coding RNA (556 nucleotides) under Homo sapiens (human). Its description in RNAcentral is "HSALNT0360226". Lineage: Eukaryota; Metazoa; Chordata; Mammalia; Primates; Hominidae. The record is from RNAcentral.
AGUUGGAUUGCUCCGAAUUUCAGUGCCUAUCGGGCAGCCAGUGAACAUUUGUCCAUCUUUAAGGCAUUAAACUGAGAAGAACCACUGAGGAAAGCAUGCCACAGUCUUUCCCAAAAUCCCUGUGUCUUAAGGAACAACCAAGAAGUUAACUGGUCAGGGAAAAGAUUUCUUUUGGAACACAGAAGCCAUCGCUGUGUGCGGAAAUCCAUGACCUGGCCAUGACUUCUACAACCCGGAGGACUUGCCUGGCAUUACCGAAAAGCACAGGGGAAAGAUUCUGUGGCAGAGAAUGAUGGGAGUUGUGAUCCAUACCUCCGUGUGCAUAAUGGUUGUACCUGCUCCAGGAAGGCGCUGGAUCCUCCCAACUCCAUGGGAAGAGAUUAGGACACAAACAACAGACAGAAGGUGACCACAGGAGGACACAGUGAGAAGCUGGCCAUCUGCAAGCCAAGGAGAGAGACCUCAGGAGAAACCAAACCUGCCAGCACCUUAAUCUUAGACUUCUAGCCCUCAGAACGGUGAGGAAAUAAAUCUCUGUUGUUCAUGCCACCCAGUC